UCUAACUUUGCCUUUGUAGUUAAAAUAAGGGCACGUAAGAGUUUGAUAUUCUCCGGUAGGCGGAUUCCACAAAACAUAACUUUUAUAAGCCGUAGAGUUCUUUAAAAGCAACAAGCCAUCACACGAGGACAAUACUAUGGCUUUUUGGAAUUUCUCUGGAGUAAUAACUUCCUGUGCCAUCAUAAGUAAUUGGGAAGAUUCCAAGUCUCUAAACUCGAAUUCAUUGGUACUACUUUUGUGUAACACUAGCUUUUCACGUCCCAAAGCUUUGGAUUGAUCGCGAUGAGUUCUCUUGAAUUCAUUGUCUGAGAUUAUAAUAUUCCACGAC
RNAcentral lists this long non-coding RNA (328 nucleotides) under Capsicum annuum. RNAcentral describes it as "long non-coding RNA (CANN_LNC021944)". The record is from RNAcentral. Lineage: Eukaryota; Viridiplantae; Streptophyta; Magnoliopsida; Solanales; Solanaceae.